This 505-nucleotide ribosomal RNA is filed under the name uncultured bacterium. RNAcentral's name for it is "bacterial SSU rRNA". It matches the Rfam family "Bacterial small subunit ribosomal RNA", at positions 8 to 526 of the family's 1533-position model. The record is from RNAcentral.
AGAGUUUGAUCCUGGCUCAGGACGAACGCUGGCGGCGUGCUUCACACAUGCAAGUCGAACGGAAAGGCCCGCUUGCGGGUACUCGAGUGGCGAACGGGUGAGUAACACGUGGGUGAUCUGCCCUGCACUUUGGGAUAAGCCUGGGAAACUGGGUCUAAUACCGAAUACACCUUGCUGGUCGCAUGGCCUGGUGGGGGAAAGCUUUUGCGGUGUGGGAUGGGCCCGCGGCCUAUCAGCUUGUUGGUGGGGUGAUGGCCUACCAAGGCGACGACGGGUAGCCGGCCUGAGAGGGUGUCCGGCCACACUGGGACUGAGAUACGGCCCAGACUCCUACGGGAGGCAGCAGUGGGGAAUAUUGCACAAUGGGCGCAAGCCUGAUGCAGCGACGCCGCGUGAGGGAUGACGGCCUUCGGGUUGUAAACCUCUUUCAGUACCGACGAAGCGGAAGUGACGGUAGGUACAGAAGAAGCACCGGCCAACUACGUGCCAGCCGCCGCGGUAAUAC